This 800-nucleotide unclassified non-coding RNA is filed under the name Hevea brasiliensis (rubber tree). The record is from RNAcentral. Lineage: Eukaryota; Viridiplantae; Streptophyta; Magnoliopsida; Malpighiales; Euphorbiaceae.
CUUUCUCUCCUCUUCAUGGCUUCUUCUUCGUCGUCGUCUUCUUCUAGCUUAAAUACUUAUAUAAAUUCUCAACCCACCUUCUCUUUCUCGACCCAUCUGCUCAUGACUUCUUCUUCUUCUUCUUCUUCUUCUUCCUCUUUCACCAAUCUUCUUUCUACUGAUACCAAAGACAUGGACAGUAUUAGCUGGGGACUUUAUGACCAUGGAACUGAUACAAUUGGUAUUGAAAUCCCAAAAUUCAAGUCAUUUACACCUCCUUCUUUACCUCUUUCUCCUCCUCCUGUAUCCCCAUCUUCUUAUUUGGCCAUUCCUACUGGUUUAAGCCUAACAGAGCUCUUGGACUCGCCUGUACUUUUUUCCGGCUCUAAUGUUCUUCCUUCUCCAACCACUGGAGCUUUUGCUGGUCAAACUUUCAACUGGAGGAACAAUUCUAAUGACAAUCAGCGAGGUGGUAGAGGGGAAGAGAAAAGUUUCUCUGAUUUCUCUUUUCAAACCCAAACAAAUCCUACAUCAUCAUCCAUCUUUCAAUCUUCUUCAAGCCUUGUCUCUGUGGAGCAGUCAAUCAAAAGGCAACAAGAAGCAUGGAAUUUUAACAAACCCACAAAGCAAACAGAUUUCUCAUCAGAGAAGGGAGGAGUGGUGAAGUCAGAAUUUAGACCAAUGCAGAGUUUCUCCUCAGAAAUGGCUCCACUCCAAUCAAGCCUACAAAAUAAUGCUGCUUCUCAACCCAGUUACAGUCAGUAUAAUAAUCAACCAGCUCCAUAUAUGAGAGAGCAAAGAAGGUCAGAUGAUGGAUACAA